GGCGUAGCUCAGUUUGGUAGAGCAACGGACUCCAAAUCCGUGGGCCGAGGGUUCGAGUCCUUCCACCC
This 68-nucleotide transfer RNA is filed under the name human gut metagenome. It matches the Rfam family "tRNA". From Rfam's summary of the family: Transfer RNA (tRNA) molecules are approximately 80 nucleotides in length. Their secondary structure includes four short double-helical elements and three loops (D, anti-codon, and T loops). The record is from RNAcentral. RNAcentral also lists the same sequence under 1 other name.